Molecule: RNA transcript, 4401 nt
Organism: Musa acuminata AAA Group (dessert banana)
Lineage: Eukaryota; Viridiplantae; Streptophyta; Magnoliopsida; Zingiberales; Musaceae
Exons: 6
Source: RefSeq, a predicted model, not a curated record
CCGUACCUGACACACCUAUAGCUGCCCCCUCAGUGGGCCCCUUCCUUUUUCUCUCUCCUGUGGUGGAAUAAGAAGCAGAAGCGCGAACGGGUACUCCCGUAAGACAACAGAUGCUGAGCUGGUUGCUUGUCGAGCUCUCUCCCUGCCUUCGUCGAUCCCCUCUCCAUGGAUCCAUUUGGGGAAGGAAUCGAAUUCAACCUUCAAAUUGACCUCGGACGAAUAACAGACCUGAAGAAUCAUUAGAUCGAGGGAGACUGACGUCCUCUGUUUUGCAUAAAAGAACCAUUCUGCAAUGCCUCUCUACAAGCAGACAACCAUCACAGAUCAUAAACAUGUGUUUACGUCAGAAGUCUGGGAUGACAGAUAGGUAGAUGGAUGGAUGAAUGGAAGAUAUGUUCGAAGGAAGACCUUUGUUGUCGCCAAUUACAGCGUGUCAGACUGUCUUCCUCGUCCCGUUUCGUGCAGGGCCACCAGCUAUGACUGUCUGCUUGUAGAGGCAUGCGGGCGUAGCGGUAGCAGCAGCGGCACAUGGGGGGCCAUGUUGAAGCUACGAUGGAGGGUGGCGUACGGGGGUUUGGAAGACAGCCUUGAGGAGGAGGCAGAAGGAAACGCCUCCCCACAUACAGCGACAUGGGUUAGUCAUUUCAACCUGUUGCCUCGGUCGUCUGGAUAUGAACUCUUGAGGCGAUGGCAUUCAUGGCCGCGGGGGGGAAAUCAGCGUGGUUUUGCGGCGGCGCAAGAGUCAACGACGGUCGGAUCCAACAGUCUCAUUACUUCAGGAUUCGUGAAUCACGAAAUCAACGACCAGAAUCUCCGUUGCUGUUUCUCUAGAUCAGCCAAAUUGAUUCAUGGAUUCCAUCGACUCGGAGAACGAGACUAAUUCGUGGAGAAGACAAGAAUUUGACACGGGACUCGGGAGACCGUAUCAAACUCGAGCUCAAUAAAUCGCGAGUCCUGCAGCUGUAGCGGAUUAAAUAAAGAGGCCAAUUGCCCUUCGUUCCUCCUCUCUCUAUCGCUCAUGAUUACUCCUGCCAAAAACCCCGCCUUUCGCCUGUUCUUCUUUUGCUUUUGAAUCCCUCUUUUUCUCUCACUCACAUGGCGGAGGCGCGAUGGGUUAAAGUGGGGAGGAAGAAGUGCCGGAAUGCUUUCCCAGUUCCCGAGAAAGGAGCGAUUUUGAUCUCGGCCCGGUGGAGAAGUUCGCGGAAAUGACUUCCAACUCCUUUUUCUGAGCUGCAAUUUUUCUGGAAGCCGCCAGGGCGACUCCUUUUUUGGUCCAUCGUCUUGCUUGGUGGUAUAAAGGAGUGAUAUUGCUCGAAUAUUUAAGGUGGUGGAAAUAGGUCGGAGGUUGAUAGGGUUUUGAAGGGUUUAAGGCGUUUCGUACCGUGUGUCUCGUGACAACGAUGGCAGAAGAGGGAUUUGGAGCGAAGGUUCGUGUGGUGCGGUGCCCCAAAUGCGAGAAACUUCUCCCAGAGCUCGCCGACUUCUUGGUGUACCGCUGCGGUGGAUGCGGCACUACUCUGCAAGCCAAGAAAGCUGUUCCAGGCAUGGGGAUUUCGCCCGAGAAAUCUGAUGGGGAAAACAUCAAAUACCUUGAGGUGUUGGAGCAUAAUACAGAGAAGAAGGGGAUCGCUUCAAACGCAAGCACUGAGACCGAUCACGAGGUCGGUAGAGCUGAGAGCAGGAUAAGGGAGUCACUACCGCAUGGUAAAUCCAUGACUGAAGGUGAAGAUAGUGGUCUGAUGAAUAAACUCAUCACCUCAAAGUUGGACAGUAUUCCCAUGGAAAAUGGAACCGACACCCGAAAUGUGACUGCAUUUGGUAAACCAGAGAUAGAGAGUGGAAGAGACACCAAACUACAUGUAGACGAACCUCGUUUACCUCAGCCAACACUAGCCCGGAGAGCCGAAGAGAGGGAUCAAGCACCGAGAGAUACCACGGUAGAUGUUCAGCCUGUUCCUCUUCUUGAUGAAGGCCCAACUGAUCGUCAUCGGAAUCCAAGCCAUGUUUACGGCAAUGGUGAGGGUCGAAGUAGGCAGACCAUGGAUGAUGCUAGCAAAGUAGGCUACCUUGAACAAGACAGAGCAAAGCUUCUGAGAAUGCUUGAUGAGCUGAGAGAUCAAGUACAGCAAACUUGUGAGGCCUCAGACAAGAAGAAGACAAGUGCUCCUGUGGAUAGGAUGGCAGGUUCGUCGAGUUGCUAUGGCCAACAUGACCAUGCUACAUGGUUUCCUGAGAGCUCAUCAUCAUCAUACCUGAAUCAAUCUCGUUGUUUCCCAAUACCGCAUGAUCAUAAUACAGCCAUGCUAAAUUUUUAUUCUAAUGUGCCAAUUCAGAGUGACAUAGCUGGUUAUGGGGAUCCAUUUGUUCAUAAGAGAGUUCCCUUCCACCUAUCCAGUGAGUAUCCACAGAGACAAGUGGACAGUUUCCUUUAUGGACAGUUUGAAUCUGAUCCUGUUAUGCCUUAUUAUCAUGAUGGUUUCUGUCAUCAGCCCGCGUGCUCAUGUUUGCAUUGCUACCAGAGACCAUUUUCGCUUCCUGCAAGAGCCCCACCGACAGUCUUGGGUCAUCAGAGGACUCCAUAUCCUGUCAAUAAUCAUGAGUUCUAUGCAGUUGAUGGUCCCUCAAUUUUUGGUACCAGAAGCUCUAAUUUAAGGGUUGGUAAUGCCCCCUUGCAUAGACUAGAGCCAAGAUCACACUGUAGAAUCAAGUUCAGCAAGAAUAAUGCACGAUCCUGUCGACCCAUUGAUGGUGCUGCCCCAUUUACUAUUUGUUCUAGUUGUUUUGAACUGCUGCAACUACCUGAAAAAUCAUUGCCGCUGAAAAAGAAUAAGUUUAAGCUGCGUUGUGGAUCUUGCUUUAAGUUAAUGACAAUCCAGUAUGAUGGAAGCAGGAUCGUUAUAUCUGCCCCCACUCCAGACUCGCAUAUGUCUUCUGUGAAUAAUAACUCCUCCCUUAAUAGCCCAGUCAAUGGUGCCCUGUCUACUGAUGAAAAACUAGUUCUGCCUUACAUUUUCACAAUUAAUGAUCAUGAGAUGAUUGAAAAGGGACACGGUCAACACUUGAGUGAAUCAGAAAAAAUGCAUGGUUUCUCCUUGUCAUCUAGUACAUCUGGACAUGCUGACAGCCCAGAAAGUGUGAUUUCGCAGAAGGAUGUUCCUACCUCACCUGGGGUCCCUUUAGAAGCUCAGGUGAUUUCUCGAGUUUCAAGUUUGCCACUUCGUGAACAUUUUGGCUACUCACUGUCUGAUGAAGCAGCUGAUGGAUCUGGAAAUGGAAGCGGGAGUAAACGUUCUGAUCAUGUGAGAAAUCUAUCAUUAAGUGGAAACUUCAGGCAAAAUUCAACAAAAGAUGUACUAGUGGCUACUGAGAGGGGCUUGUCAGAGGAUGAGGAUUUACCUGCUGGUUUGUCUCAAGAUUCAUGGGAUAUGGCAAGUAAAGAUGAAACUCAACCUAGGAUCAUCAAGGCUGGUGAUUCAUUCUUUGCUGGCCUUAUAAAGAAGAGCUUUCGGCCUUUUAACCAAUCAGUAGGUCAUGGUAGAUUUAAAGUUUCAAUUAACAGUCACCAAAUCCCUGAUCGUCUAGUUAAAAAGGCUGAAAAGCAAGCCGGUCCAAUCUAUCAUGGUGAUUAUUGGUAUGACUACCGUGCUGGAUUUUGGGGUGUGAUGGGGCAUCCAUGUCUUGGGAUAAUUCCUCCAUUUAUUGAAGAAUUCAAUUAUCCUAUGCCCAAGAACUGUGCCGGGGGAAAUACUGGUGUUCUUGUGAAUGGGAGAGAACUUCAUCAGAAGGAUUUGGAUUUGCUCAUUGGUCGAGGAUUGCCAGUGACCAGAGAUUGUUCCUAUAUAAUUGAGAUUUCUGGUAAAGUCUGGGAUGAGUCAUCUGGUGAAGAGAUAGAUAGUCUUGGCAAACUUGCUCCAACAAUUGAGAAGGUGAAGCAUGGUUUUGGCAUGCGUGUCCCCAAAGUGUUUGCUUAAGUGAUGAGCUUAAUGGUUGAUGUUGAUGGCACCAAAGUAUCUGAAGGAGAUUUCAAUUCCAUGGAUGCAAAGGACAUCAUGUUUGAGAGGAACGCAUAUAGCUGGUGUGCUUCAGUUGUCGCCUGCACUCUCUUGUAUCUUUAAAGGAAUACACGUAGGAUCUGAUAUGCAGCCCAAGGCCAAUGCUUACUGGUUGUAAUAUUGAAUCAGCUCAUGGAUGUAAGAGCAACCUGAUGAUCUGGGUGGAAUAUUGUCCCUGUAAAAUAGAUUCAUCGGCUAUCGAGUUGGCUGCACUGAGGGAUCUAAAUUAUCUCACUCAUGUUGGUGCUAUCAAUGUAAGAUUGUAACUCUCCUUAGAUCUUGUGUGGGAAUUUGAGUUUGACUAAGUCUCUAAUAACAUACAAGAAGUCUGUAUGAGAUCUGCAUGCCA